AUACUGGAAAUAUAAGGGCUGCUGCGCUAUUAUAAAGAUGUCAGCUCGUCUGACUAUGACGCUAAAGGCGUCGCGGAAUAAGCGUUAUGGACCCGGGGGCGGUACCCGGCGGCUCCACCAUUUGCUGUCUGAUACAGCAUUUGCGAUGGUUAGACAUCAAGUGAUGGGGCCGAAAUAGGAUCGACAUGCGUAGUAAAGGUGAUAGCUUGCGUUCGGUAUGGUACUUCCGUUAUUAAGGCCAUUAUUUAUAAAUGCAAACGAUAACAAUCGUUUCGUAGCGGUUAACGACAAUGCUGUCGUUAGCGAAGCGAUGGCUGCUUAAUUGAGCAACCGUAGCGUGCUACAACUAAAUUCCUGGUAAUUGAAACCUAUUGGGUGGGGCGUGGGUCGGCCUCGCAACAGAACUGGCCCAUU
This 414-nucleotide transfer-messenger RNA is filed under the name Alphaproteobacteria bacterium. It matches the Rfam family "Alphaproteobacteria transfer-messenger RNA". Rfam says of the family: Bacterial tmRNA, also known as 10Sa RNA or SsrA, is named for its dual tRNA and mRNA-like properties. Its role is to liberate the mRNA from a stalled ribosome. Lineage: Bacteria; Pseudomonadati; Pseudomonadota; Alphaproteobacteria. The record is from RNAcentral.